GGGACCAGCUGCCAGCUGUCCCUCCCCCUGGAAGGACUCGUCUCUCUCUCGAGCUCUUUGCUGAAAGAAUUGUUUAUUCAAAGCAGCAAUUUCCUCCACACCCCUUCUAGCGACUUUAAUGGAACACGAGGAAGUUUUCUGACCUGGUUAUGGGGGGAGCAGAAUCCGCGGCUCAGCCCCCUGCCGGCCUCAGGAGGAGAGGAGAAGAGACCGCGGGCAGGAGGGGCACUCCGGAGAAGCAGGCAGAAAGUACAGAUUUCGUACACGCGGAGUUUCCGCAAACCUUGCUCUGUCCUCCUCCAUCAUUUUCCUCUCCCCUCCCCUGUCUCCGGGUGCUGCCGCGCAGGUCUGGUUCUUCAGUCCAGCUCCUGCUGCGCCCGGCACGGGCUGGACACCGAGGACCUGGCCCUGCCCACCUCAUUUGCCAGAAGUGAGUCGGCUUCCAGCUUUGAGAGGUUCGGGAGGAAAGUUCACUCACCCCUUCCAUCAGCAUUGAGAGAGCAUGCUUACAACCAUGUUCACUGUCCUUGGCAAUACUGGCUGGACUUAACAGUGAACAAAACAAACAAGCAAACAAAAAAAGCCUUGUCCUCAUGGCACUUACAUUCUAACUCACCUAAUGGAUUUUUUAAAAUGAAGAUGUUAGGAAUUUAACGUUUCUCCACCCGGGAUGUCUCCUUUGUACAAAGAAAGCUGGAGAAGGAUUGUUCAACCCAAAGGAAUGAAGCACUAAUGCUAGAAUUCCAGCUAUCUGUGGGGACAGCAUUUUUUUUUCAAGAUUUUUUAUUAUUUAUGUGUGAGAGAGAGUGACAGACAUAGAGAGGGAGAGACAGAAAGAAAGGUCUUCCACCAGCUGGUUCACUUCCCAAUUGGCCACAACAGCCAGAGCUGGGCUGUUCUGAACUCAGGAGCCAGGAGCUUCUUCUGGGUCUCCCACAUGGGUGCAGGGGACCAACCACUUGGGCCAUCUUCUACUGCUUUCCCAGGCCACAGCAGAGAGAUGGAUCAGAAGAGGAGCGGCCAGGAUACAAAGCAGAACCCACAUAGGAUGUUUGUGCCACAAGCCAAGGUGGCUUAACCCACUACACCACAGCGCCAGCUGCAGGGGCAGUAUUUGAGGCUGAGAGUCUUCGUUGGUCUUUUAGAGUAGAGAUUAACACUCUACUACCCAGCGGCCCAACCUGCUCUGUAUAGGCCACAAGCUAGGAAUGAUGCUUACACUCUCUAGAAGCUGAAAGAAAUCGACGGAACAGUGUUGAGUGACACGCGAAUGAAACAGGCAGCUCCGUGUCCAUACACUUGACUGCAGCACGGCUGUGCCCCUCCCUGUACAUGUUGUCUGGGGCCGGUUCAGCAGCUGUAACGGAGGUGACCUGUGGCCCGAAGAGCACGUUUACUGUCUGGCCCGUGCAGAGCUUGCUGAUCUAGAAGCACACGGUGGAGACGGCUGUCUCUUCUGUGUGCAGGGCCCUGGCCCAGCCUUGUUCUGUCUGAGGAAGAGAGCUGUGUGGACUGUGUAGGAGGCUGAGAACCUGUCCCCCACAUCUGUUUUCUCUUCACACCGAGACAAGUCCUCCUGGGAAGCAUCCCGCCAAACACAGAAUUCCUUCCCGGCACAGUCUUGCUAUUUGCCAAGUUCAGAAGCAGACCUCCA
Oryctolagus cuniculus (rabbit) is the source of this 1654-nucleotide long non-coding RNA. NCBI's taxonomy places the organism in Eukaryota, Metazoa, Chordata, Mammalia, Lagomorpha, Leporidae. The record is from Ensembl.